Molecule: ribosomal RNA, 458 nt
Filed under: uncultured bacterium
Lineage: Bacteria
Description: bacterial SSU rRNA
Rfam family: Bacterial small subunit ribosomal RNA
Source: RNAcentral
AAUUGGGUAGUCCGUACGAGCGCACCUUAUCCUUAGUUGCCAGCACAUAAUGGUGGGGACUCUAGGGAGACUACCGGUGUCAAACCGGAGGAAGGCGGGGACGACGUCAAGUCAUCAUGGUCCUUACGCCCAGGGCCACAAACGUGCUACAAUGGUCGGUACAAUGAGCAGCAAAGCCGUGAGGUGGAGCAAAUCUCAAAAAGCCGGCCCCAGUUCGGAUUGAAGGCUGCAAUUCGCCUUCAUGAAGUCGGAAUCGCUAGUAAUCGCAGAUCAGCCAUGCUGCGGUGAAUGUGUUCCUGAGCCUUGUACACACCGCCCGUCAAGCCACCCAAAUGGACCGCACCCGAAGUCGCUACCCUAACCGUAAGGAGGGGGGUGCCGAAGGUGAGGUUCGUGAGGGGGACUAAGUCGUAACAAGGUAGCCGUAGGGGAACCUGCGGCUGGAUCACCUCCUUUCU